RNAcentral lists this ribosomal RNA (498 nucleotides) under uncultured bacterium. RNAcentral describes it as "partial 16S ribosomal RNA". It matches the Rfam family "Bacterial small subunit ribosomal RNA", at positions 30 to 523 of the family's 1533-position model. The record is from RNAcentral.
AUUGAACGCUGGCGGCAUGCCUUACACAUGCAAGUCGAACGGUAACAGGUCUUCGGAUGCUGACGAGUGGCGAACGGGUGAGUAAUACAUCGGAACGUGCCUAGUAGUGGGGGAUAACUACUCGAAAGAGUGGGUAAUACCGCAUGGGAUCUACGGAUGAAAGCAAGGGAUCGCAAGACCUUGUGCUACUAGAGCGGCCGAUGGCAGAUUAGGUAGUUGGUGGGAUAAAAGCUUACCAAGCCGACGAUCUGUAGCUGGUCUGAGAGGACGAUCAGCCACACUGGGACGGAGACACGGCCCGGACUCUGACGGGAGGCGGCAGUGGGGAAUUUUGGACAAUGGGAGCAAGCCUGAUCCAGCAAUGCCGCGUGCAGGAUGAAGGCCUUGGGGUUGUAAACUGCUUUUGUACGGAACGAAAAGCCCCGGGUUAAUACCCUGGGGUCAUGACGGUACCGUAAGAAUAAGCACCGGCUAACUACGUGCCAGCCGCCGCCGUAA